AUACUCACUUGGGAAGCACAUAUAUUAAAACCAGAGUGAUACACAGAAGAUUAAUAUUGUCCCUGUGUAAGCAUGGCAGGAAAAUUUGUGAAGCAUUCAAUAUAUCU
This is a small nuclear RNA of Suncus etruscus (white-toothed pygmy shrew), 107 nucleotides long. The record is from RefSeq and is a predicted model, not a curated record. NCBI's taxonomy places the organism in Eukaryota, Metazoa, Chordata, Mammalia, Eulipotyphla, Soricidae.